Molecule: unclassified non-coding RNA, 328 nt
Filed under: soil metagenome
Description: partial contains 5.8S ribosomal RNA, internal transcribed spacer 2, and large subunit ribosomal RNA
Rfam family: 5.8S ribosomal RNA (bases 1-119)
Source: RNAcentral
GAUGAAGAACGCAGCGAAAUGCGAUACGUAAUGUGAAUUGCAAAUUCAGUGAAUCAUCGAGUCUUUGAACGCACAUUGCGCCCCCUGGUAUUCCGGGGGGCAUGCCUGUCCGAGCGUCAUUACAACCCUCAAGCUCAGCUUGGUGUUGGGCCCCGCCGCCCCGGCGGGCCCUUAAGUCAGUGGCGGUGCCGUCCGGCUCCGAGCGUAGUAAUUCUUCUCGCUCUGGAGGUCCGGUCGUGUGCUCGCCAGCAACCCCCAAUUUUUUUCAGGUUGACCUCGGAUCAGGUAGGGAUACCCGCUGAACUUAAGCAUAUCAAUAAGCGGAGGA